Molecule: ribosomal RNA, 1360 nt
Filed under: uncultured bacterium
Lineage: Bacteria
Description: bacterial SSU rRNA
Rfam family: Bacterial small subunit ribosomal RNA
Source: RNAcentral
AUUGAACGCUGGCGGCAGGCCUAACACAUGCAAGUCGAGCGGUAGCACAGAGAGCUUGCUCUCGGGUGACGAGCGGCGGACGGGUGAGUAAUGUCUGGGAAACUGCCUGAUGGAGGGGGAUAACUACUGGAAACGGUAGCUAAUACCGCAUAACGUCGCAAGACCAAAGUGGGGGACCUUCGGGCCUCAUGCCAUCAGAUGUGCCCAGAUGGGAUUAGCUAGUAGGUGGGGUAAUGGCUCACCUAGGCGACGAUCCCUAGCUGGUCUGAGAGGAUGACCAGCCACACUGGAACUGAGACACGGUCCAGACUCCUACGGGAGGCAGCAGUGGGGAAUAUUGCACAAUGGGCGCAAGCCUGAUGCAGCCAUGCCGCGUGUAUGAAGAAGGCCUUCGGGUUGUAAAGUACUUUCAGCGGGGAGGAAGGCGUUAAGGUUAAUAACCUUAGCGAUUGACGUUACUCGCAGAAGAAACACCGGCUAACUCCGUGCCAACAACCGCGGUAAUACGGAGGGUGCAAGCGUAAUUCGGAUUUACUGGGCGUAAAGCGCACGCAGGCGGUCUGUUAGUCAGAUGUGAAAUCCCCGGGCUCAACCUGGGAACUGCAUUUGAAACUGGCAGGCUUGAGUCUUGUAGAGGGGGGUAGAAUUCCAGGUGUAGCGGUGAAAUGCGUAGAGAUCUGGAGGAAUACCGGUGGCGAAGGCGGCCCCCUGGACAAAGACUGACGCUCAGGUGCGAAAGCGUGGGGAGCAAACAGGAUUAGAUACCCUGGUAGUCCACGCUGUAAACGAUGUCGACUUGGAGGUUGUUCCCUCGAGGAGUGGCUUCCGGAGCUAACGCGUUAAGUCGACCGCCUGGGGAGUACGGCCGCAAGGUUAAAACUCAAAUGAAUUGACGGGGGCCCGCACAAGCGGUGGAGCAUGUGGUUUAAUUCGAUGCAACGCGAAGAACCUUACCUACUCUUGACAUCCAGAGAACUUAGCAGAGAUGCUUUGGUGCCUUCGGGAACUCUGAGACAGGUGCUGCAUGGCUGUCGUCAGCUCGUGUUGUGAAAUGUUGGGUUAAGUCCCGCAACGAGCGCAACCCUUAUCCUUUGUUGCCAGCGAUUCGGUCGGGAACUCAAAGGAGACUGCCAGUGAUAAACUGGAGGAAGGUGGGGAUGACGUCAAGUCAUCAUGGCCCUUACGAGUAGGGCUACACACGUGCUACAAUGGCAUAUACAAAGAGAAGCGACCUCGCGAGAGCAAGCGGACCUCAUAAAGUAUGUCGUAGUCCGGAUUGGAGUCUGCAACUCGACUCCAUGAAGUCGGAAUCGCUAGUAAUCGUAGAUCAGAAUGCUACGGUGAAUACGUUCCCGGGCCU